CGGGACGUAGCUCAGCCUGGUUAGAGCGCUGCGUUUGGGACGCAGAGGCCGACAGUUCGAAUCUGUCCGUCCCGA
RNAcentral lists this transfer RNA (75 nucleotides) under Gaiellaceae bacterium. RNAcentral's name for it is "tRNA-Pro". It matches the Rfam family "tRNA". From Rfam's summary of the family: Transfer RNA (tRNA) molecules are approximately 80 nucleotides in length. Their secondary structure includes four short double-helical elements and three loops (D, anti-codon, and T loops). Further hydrogen bonds mediate the characteristic L-shaped molecular structure. tRNAs have two regions of fundamental functional importance: the anti-codon, which is responsible for specific mRNA codon recognition, and the 3' end, to which the tRNAs corresponding amino acid is attached (by aminoacyl-tRNA synthetases). tRNAs cope with the degeneracy of the genetic code in two manners: having more than one tRNA (with a specific anti-codon) for a particular amino acid; and 'wobble' base-pairing, i.e. permitting non-standard base-pairing at the 3rd anti-codon position. RNAcentral also lists the same sequence under 2 other names. Lineage: Bacteria; Bacillati; Actinomycetota; Thermoleophilia; Gaiellales; Gaiellaceae. The record is from RNAcentral.